Molecule: ribosomal RNA, 545 nt
Filed under: Limosilactobacillus reuteri
Lineage: Bacteria; Bacillati; Bacillota; Bacilli; Lactobacillales; Lactobacillaceae
Description: bacterial SSU rRNA
Rfam family: Bacterial small subunit ribosomal RNA
Source: RNAcentral
GGGGGGCACAGUAGGGAAUCUUCCACAAUGGGCGCAAGCCUGAUGGAGCAACACCGCGUGAGUGAAGAAGGGUUUCGGCUCGUAAAGCUCUGUUGUUGGAGAAGAACGUGCGUGAGAGUAACUGUUCACGCAGUGACGGUAUCCAACCAGAAAGUCACGGCUAACUACGUGCCAGCAGCCGCGGUAAUACGUAGGUGGCAAGCGUUAUCCGGAUUUAUUGGGCGUAAAGCGAGCGCAGGCGGUUGCUUAGGUCUGAUGUGAAAGCCUUCGGCUUAACCGAAGAAGGGCAUCGGAAACCGGGCGACUUGAGUGCAGAAGAGGACAGUGGAACUCCAUGUGUAGCGGUGGAAUGCGUAGAUAUAUGGAAGAACACCAGUGGCGAAGGCGGCUGUCUGGUCUGCAACUGACGCUGAGGCUCGAAAGCAUGGGUAGCGAACAGGAUUAGAUACCCUGGUAGUCCAUGCCGUAAACGAUGAGUGCUAGGUGUUGGAGGGUUUCCGCCCUUCAGUGCCGGAGCUAACGCAUUAAGCACUCCGCUGGGAGUA